UGUCCGGAAUCAUUGGGCGUAAAGCGCGUGUAGGCGGCUUGGUAAGUCUGCUCUGAAAGCCCGGGGCUCAACCCCGGGAGGCGGGUGGAUACUGUCAAGCUCGAGUCCGGAAGAGGAGUGUGGAAUUCCUGGUGUAGCGGUGAAAUGCGCAGAUAUCAGGAGGAACACCAAUGGCGAAGGCAGCACUCUGGGACGUGACUGACGCUGAGACGCGAAAGCGUGGGGAGCAAACAGG
This 235-nucleotide ribosomal RNA is filed under the name uncultured bacterium. RNAcentral describes it as "partial 16S ribosomal RNA". It matches the Rfam family "Bacterial small subunit ribosomal RNA", at positions 542 to 776 of the family's 1533-position model. The record is from RNAcentral.